This 253-nucleotide ribosomal RNA is filed under the name uncultured bacterium. RNAcentral describes it as "partial 16S ribosomal RNA". It matches the Rfam family "Bacterial small subunit ribosomal RNA", at positions 524 to 776 of the family's 1533-position model. The record is from RNAcentral.
UACGUAGGGGGCAAGCGUUGUCCGGAUUUACUGGGCGUAAAGCGCGUGUAGGCGGCUACGCAGGUCCGUUGUGAAAACUGGAGGCUCAACCUCCAGACGUCGACGGAAACCGUGUGGCUAGAGUCCGAAAGAGGAGAGUGGAAUUCCUGGUGUAGCGGUGAAAUGCGCAGAUAUCAGGAAGAACACCAAUGGCGAAGGCAGCUCUCUGGGACGGUACUGACGCUGAGACGCGAAAGCGUGGGGAGCGAACAGG